RNAcentral lists this ribosomal RNA (450 nucleotides) under uncultured Glomus. Its description in RNAcentral is "SSU rRNA". It matches the Rfam family "Eukaryotic small subunit ribosomal RNA", at positions 569 to 1024 of the family's 1831-position model. Lineage: Eukaryota; Fungi; Glomeromycota; Glomeromycetes; Glomerales; Glomeraceae. The record is from RNAcentral.
AGCAGCCGCGGUAAUUCCAGCUCCAAUAGCGUAUAUUAAAGUUGUUGCAGUUAAAAAGCUCGUAGUUGAAUUUCGGGAUCAAAUUGUCGGUCGUGCCUCGGUACGUACUGGCGUUAUUGGUUCCUCCCUUCUGAAGAACCGCGAUGUCAUUAAUUUGGUGUCGCGGGGAAUCAGGACUGUUACUUUGAAAAAUUAGAGUGUUUAAAGCAGGCUCGCGCUUGAAUACAUUAGCAUGGAAUAAUGAAAUAGGACGUUUGAUUCUAUUUUGUUGGUUUCUAGGAUCGACGUAAUGAUUAAUAGGGAUAGUUGGGGGCAUUAGUAUUCAAUUGUCAGAGGUGAAAUUCUUGGAUUUUAUUGAAGACUAACUACUGCGAAAGCAUCUGCCAAGGAUGUUUUCAUUAAUCAAGAACGAAAGUUAGGGGAUCGAAGACGAUCAGAUACCGUCGUAGU